RNAcentral lists this ribosomal RNA (474 nucleotides) under Agabus undulatus. RNAcentral describes it as "SSU rRNA". It matches the Rfam family "Eukaryotic small subunit ribosomal RNA", at positions 156 to 601 of the family's 1831-position model. Lineage: Eukaryota; Metazoa; Arthropoda; Insecta; Coleoptera; Dytiscidae. The record is from RNAcentral.
UUCUAGAGCUAAUACAUGCAAACAGAGUUCCGACCGGAGACGGNAGGAAUGCUUUUAUUAGAUCAAAACCAAUCGGCGGCGGGCGCGCUCGCGCGUCCGUUCGCCGCUCAACUUGGUGACUCUGAAUAACUUUCGGCUGAUCGCACGGUCCAGCACCGGCGACGCAUCUUUCAAAUGUCUGCCUUAUCAACUGUCGAUGGUAGGUUCUGCGCCUACCAUGGUCGUAACGGGUAACGGGGAAUCAGGGUUCGAUUCCGGAGAGGGAGCCUGAGAAACGGCUACCACAUCCAAGGAAGGCAGCAGGCGCGCAAAUUACCCACUCCCGGCACGGGGAGGUAGUGACGAAAAAUAACGAUACGGGACUCAUCCGAGGCCCCGUAAUCGGAAUGAGUACACUUUAAAUCCUUUAACGAGGAUCAAUUGGAGGGCAAGUCUGGUGCCAGCAGCCGCGGUAAUUCCAGCUCCAAUAGCGUA